This is a long non-coding RNA of Phycodurus eques (leafy seadragon), 1390 nucleotides long. RefSeq lists it as uncharacterized. The record is from RefSeq and is a predicted model, not a curated record. The transcript has 3 exons. NCBI's taxonomy places the organism in Eukaryota, Metazoa, Chordata, Actinopteri, Syngnathiformes, Syngnathidae.
CACACAGAAAAGCCCCACUGUUGGAGUAAACACGUCCCAAUGAGCCCCCACUUCUGGAUACUGGAAGAAUGGACAGCGCCCAUGGCCGGGCUUGCCGCAUCCAUCAGGACCGGAUUCAGCACAGGACGACGUCCCUCAGAACCAUCAAGAAUGUUCCAAAUAGAUAGGAUGAAACAAGGAAAGCCUUUCUCUCUGCCACUGUGUGUGGUGGGGGUGGGUGCGUGUUUGAGGGAGGUUUUCUUGUCAGGACCUCGUUGCAACAACAGACUGAAGGAAUGCUCUGGAGAGAUGCUGCAUCGCGGCAGCAGAUGCCGACAAGGCCGGCAAGCUGUGAUCAAGCUGUGCCUCCGUCCUCCCCACUCUCUCCCAUCAGCUGGACGGCUUCAACAGCAGGGUGCCCCAGAUUCAAAGACCACCUCCCCCCUCCCAUCCUUUUCAAACACCUGCAGCCUCUCCAAUCUGGAGCCUUGCUGACACCUGGUGGUCAAAAGUCGCAGUGCAACUAGAGCACGAGAUUCAGUUGGGAGGUUGGCUAAAGGUUCCAGAUAUUCCUGGGCACAUCCAGCAAUCACUUCCUGCAGCUUGACAUCCACCUGGCUCAGACGUUCCUUAUACAAUCUACACAACGUUUGAAAGAAAAGUAUCAGAAUGUGACAUUCAAAUGAUGGCUGUAAGAUAAUGUGCAACGGAUGCAGUAAGGGUUAAAGCAUAGAUGAUAGUUAAACCAGAAGCAGCUCGAACAAUGUUGUGUGCACAAUGCAAACGCACAUAGGUGUUUCUAGCCCAAUUUUGGGGGAUGCUGAAACUCCCCUAAAAGGAAUCCUACCACCCCUAAAAUUUGAGAGAUAAAAAAAAAACAUUUUAUUUUUUAACUGAAUGUCAUUUUGUAACAACCUAGGAAAGUGUAAAGCUAGAAAGUACUUGGUUGAAAGUACAUUUUAACAAUAACAACAAACUAUCAUCAGUACCAGUCCUCAUUUUUGAAGCAUUUAAUUGUAGGUCACUGUUUAUGUUAGGUAGCUGCACCACUGACCCCCAAAUUAGGGUUACAAUGUUUAUUUUAUGAUUCCAAUUUAUUCCUCUUUUGCUGUGGCUCAACAUUUAAAUAACCUUGUUCUGAUUUGACAGUUGAGUCACAGGCUUUCCCUAACCCCCCCCCAGAAAUGUUAGAAUAAAAUUGUGUUAGCGUGUAUAAAACAGUUCAAUUUAUUAGCAGUACCUUCCUCCCAUUUCUGACACUGAGAGAGGAAACUUACUGCUCCUUCAAGUCUGUGAACUGUUUCUCCAGAGUGGUCAUCUCGUCCAGGCACUCCAUCCUCCUCCUCUCACAGUCUUCAUCAUCCAUCUCUGUUCACAUAUGAAGAAGACAUGGCAGGUUGGGCAUAGGAAU